CGGGGUGUAGCGCAGCCUGGUAGCGCACUUGCUUUGGGAGCAAGUUGUCGGGGGUUCGAAUCCCUCCACCCCGACCC
RNAcentral lists this transfer RNA (77 nucleotides) under Betaproteobacteria bacterium. RNAcentral's name for it is "tRNA-Pro". It matches the Rfam family "tRNA". Rfam says of the family: Transfer RNA (tRNA) molecules are approximately 80 nucleotides in length. Their secondary structure includes four short double-helical elements and three loops (D, anti-codon, and T loops). Further hydrogen bonds mediate the characteristic L-shaped molecular structure. tRNAs have two regions of fundamental functional importance: the anti-codon, which is responsible for specific mRNA codon recognition, and the 3' end, to which the tRNAs corresponding amino acid is attached (by aminoacyl-tRNA synthetases). tRNAs cope with the degeneracy of the genetic code in two manners: having more than one tRNA (with a specific anti-codon) for a particular amino acid; and 'wobble' base-pairing, i.e. permitting non-standard base-pairing at the 3rd anti-codon position. The record is from RNAcentral. Lineage: Bacteria; Pseudomonadati; Pseudomonadota; Betaproteobacteria.